GCCAGCCCUAGGGUAGCUCCCGAAAAGCCGAUUCCCUUCAUCGGCCUGGGCUGGCGAUCUUCUGAAGGG
Molecule: small RNA, 69 nt
Filed under: Malonomonas rubra DSM 5091
Lineage: Bacteria; Pseudomonadati; Thermodesulfobacteriota; Desulfuromonadia; Desulfuromonadales; Geopsychrobacteraceae
Description: int-alpA RNA
Rfam family: int-alpA RNA
About the family: Acidobacteria (1 example), Planctomycetes (1 example), Proteobacteria. Environment (Lake Washington)
Source: Rfam by way of RNAcentral